GGAAAUUCCCAAAUCACGCCGUUGUACGAUUGUUGGAUGCGUGAAGUAGGUUGCAUUGAUCAAAAGUUGGGACCUUUCCACAGAGAAGAAUUUUUUUUUUUGGAUUUUUUUAUGCAAAAUGCCAGGAAAUAGAGAGCUUAUGGGCUGUUACUUGCACACUCUUUGCUCCUACUGGUUUCUCUCAUUGUUAAUUCUCUUUGCAGAUUUGGUGUUGGUGGGUUGUCUUCCUUUUGCCCUUCGGAACUCUAAUUCAGGCUCUAAAUCAAGUCUUUUUUAACUGGGCAUCGGAACAUCUCAAGUUUUGUGGCUUUGUCAUGCUCUUUUUCACAGUGGCUGUGCUGUGAAAUUUGAUUUUUUGGUUGUUACAUUGUGAGAGUGUUGAAGGAGGGGAAAAGAUGGGGGACAAAGGUGAAGUUUUGGAGGCUGUUUUGAAGGAAACUGUGGAUUUGGAAAACAUACCCAUUGAGGAAGUGUUUGAGAAUCUGAGAUGCAGCAAAGACGGUCUUACAAUUGAGGCUGCCGAGGAGAGGUUGACCAUUUUUGGCCACAACAGGCUUGAAGAGAAAAAGGAGAGCAAAUUCUUGAAGUUUUUGGGGUUUAUGUGGAAUCCUCUGUCAUGGGUUAUGGAGGCUGCUGCUAUUAUGGCUAUUGCUCUUGCAAAUGGAGGAGGGAAACCUCCCGAUUGGCAAGACUUCGUUGGUAUUAUUACUCUGCUUUUAAUCAACUCCACUAUCAGUUUUAUUGAGGAAAACAACGCUGGUAAUGCUGCUGCCGCUCUCAUGGCUCGUCUCGCUCCACAAGCUAAGGUUCUUCGAGAUGGAAGGUGGAGUGAACAUGAUGCUGCCGUUUUAGUUCCUGGUGACAUUAUUAGCAUCAAACUUGGAGAUAUUAUUCCAGCUGAUGCUCGUUUACUAGAAGGUGAUCCACUGAAAAUUGACCAGUCAGCACUUACUGGUGAGUCUCUUCCUGUGACAAAAGGAUCUGGAGAUGGUGUUUACUCUGGUUCUACUUGCAAGCAAGGAGAGAUUGAAGCAGUGGUUAUUGCUACUGGUGUCCAUACCUUCUUUGGGAAGGCUGCUCACCUUGUGGAUACCACGAACCAAGUGGGCCACUUCCAAAAGGUCUUGACUGCAAUUGGGAAUUUUUGUAUAUGUUCAAUUGGUGUGGGGAUGGUUAUAGAGAUUAUUGUCAUGUACCCCAUUCAAGAUCGAAAAUAUCGUCCUGGAAUUGACAAUCUUCUUGUGCUUCUCAUUGGAGGAAUUCCAAUCGCCAUGCCAACUGUCUUGUCAGUAACAAUGGCAAUUGGUUCUCAUAGGUUAUCUCAGCAGGGUGCCAUCACAAAGAGAAUGACUGCAAUUGAAGAGAUGGCAGGCAUGGAUGUGCUUUGCAGUGACAAGACUGGAACUCUG
This 1409-nucleotide unclassified non-coding RNA is filed under the name Hevea brasiliensis (rubber tree). The record is from RNAcentral. Lineage: Eukaryota; Viridiplantae; Streptophyta; Magnoliopsida; Malpighiales; Euphorbiaceae.